UAUGGGCCCUGGUCAAAUGUAGAAUGAGUUGCCAUUUGGGACACACAACCCCAGUGAAUAUGAGUAGCAUGAGUCCAUGGACAGAAUAUAUUACUAAGGUGUUUGAGACUUGAGACUUGCUGAUCAGCCUGACUAACCCAACACCUUAUUGAGACUUGUAGAUGCCAACACCUUAUUGAGACUUGUUGAUCAGCCUGACUAACCCAACACCUUAUUGAGACUUGUUGAUCAGCCUGACUAACCCAACACCUUAUUGACACUUGUUGAUCAGCCUGACUAACCCAACACCUUAUUGAGACUUGUUGAUGCCAACACCUUAUUGAGACUUGUUGAUCAGCCUGACUAACCCAACACCUUAUUGAGACCUGCUGAUCAGCCUGACUAACCCAACACCUUAUUGAGACUUGUUGAUCCCAACACCUUAUUGAGACUUGUUGAUCAGCCUGACUAACCCAACACCUUAUUGAGACUUGUUGAUCAGCCUGACUAACCCAACACCUUUUUGAGACUUGUUGAUCCCAACACCUUAUUGAGACUUGCUGAUCAGUCUGACUAACCCAAUAGCGUAUGGCUCAAGAGGUUCAAUAAUAUAAUAACACCUACUAACCAACAGAUAAAGUGCCAACAAGGAAAAAGUGGUCUCUGCUGAACGCAGAAGGCUACAGUCAAAUUAUCCUAUAUUUGGCCCAAAUGACACCCUGUUCCCUAUAAAGUGCACUACUUUUGAACUGGUCAUUUAGGGUGCCAUUUGGGAUUUAGCCAGAAGGAUAUAAUAAUGUGUAUUACAUUCAUUUAAAUAAAUUUAACUAAAGACAACAGGUCUCUCCCUAGACCAGUUACUGGUUACAGACAACAUGUCUCUCCCUAGACUAGUUACUGGUUACAGACAACAGGUCUCUCCCUAGACUAGUUAUAGGUUACAGACAACAGACUGCAACGCAGGGCUUGGGUCAAGAGAAGUGUUGUGUAGGAUGCCGUUUGAGGUGUGGCACUAUGGAAAGCAGCGUCUGGGAGGUCAAGGGUCAAAGACCACCCAGGCAGAGGUCAAGGGUGGGUGACCUCACUCUCUUUAACAGUACUCAACAUAGAGGGGGGCGGGAUCUGACUGAUGGGACAGGUUUCAACAGCCGGCGUCUGUGAUUGGACAGCUAUCCAUUCACUCACUCCCUGUGGGGAAUAACAUUGCACUGUCUGUCAAAUAAAUAUUCAACCUAGUCCACCCGGUUCUAUUGGAGAGAAAAGAUCAGAACAUUCCAGUUCCGUUGGAGAGAACAGAUGAGAACAUUCUGGUUACAUUUAACACACCAGAACAUUCUGGUUCUGUUGGAAGGAACACACCAGAACAUUCCGGUUCUGUUGGGGUGAACAAUUCAGAACAUUCC
Molecule: long non-coding RNA, 1382 nt
Organism: Oncorhynchus tshawytscha (Chinook salmon)
Lineage: Eukaryota; Metazoa; Chordata; Actinopteri; Salmoniformes; Salmonidae
Source: Ensembl